This is a long non-coding RNA of Cyprinus carpio (common carp), 812 nucleotides long. The record is from Ensembl. Lineage: Eukaryota; Metazoa; Chordata; Actinopteri; Cypriniformes; Cyprinidae.
AUGUACAAUCAAGGACCAACAGUCGGAAGAAUAAACCCUGCAUUCACUGACCCUCAGGAUGAACAGGAUCAUCUGGAGAAGUCAAGGAUGGAUCAGUCUGUGCAACCACCAUACUAUCCCAGCGCAGGAUACCAGAUCCCAAGAGUCAAUCCCAUCUCUUCUGGAUAUCCAAACCAACCGUACGGAGCUCCAGUAGGCCCUCAGGGCCCGUAUGUCCAGCAGUCAUAUCCAGGAAGGGCUGUGUAUCCCCAAGCAGCGUAUGAUGGUCAAACUGGUGUCACAGUUCAGCCGGCUGUGUUCAUGGCUCCAGUGCUAAUGGCUGCUCCGGAUUACUUGGGCUACUCCAUCUUUACCAUGCUGUGCUGCUGUUUACCUCUGGGCAUUGCUGCUAUUGUCUACUCGUGCUAUACUCGAGAUGCUAACUUGUCUGGAGAGCGAGAGUUAGCGAUGAGCAACUCCAGAAAAGCGUUUAUCCUGAACAACAUGGCUCUCGGUAUCGGCCUCACAAUCACUGCAGUGUCACUUAUCCUCAUAUUUACAGUUUGAACAGACGUUGUAUUCUGCUUCAGAUGCAUCUACUGAUACUGUAACUCAAGACAUUGAUUUUAUGGAAGAAAUGACAAAUAUUUUCCAGACCCUCUGAGGGAAUGAUCUAAUAUGGAUAUGUUUUAUGUCAUGUUGUGUUUAAUGCUGUCAGAUUGAUCUGUAAGCUGUAUGAUUAUCUGGGCAGAAAUCAAAACUUUUAGUUAAUAGGCUGAUUUAAAAUGUUUCUUUCAAAUAAAGCAUUUAAAAUUAAAAGGAAAAGAGUGUUC